This 68-nucleotide transfer RNA is filed under the name Psyttalia humilis. Its description in RNAcentral is "tRNA-His". Lineage: Eukaryota; Metazoa; Arthropoda; Insecta; Hymenoptera; Braconidae. The record is from RNAcentral.
AAUUUAAAUAGUUUAUUUAAAAUAUUAAUUUGUGGUAUUAAAGAAUUAUUUAAAAUAAUUUAAAUUUC